This 233-nucleotide ribosomal RNA is filed under the name uncultured bacterium. RNAcentral describes it as "partial 16S ribosomal RNA". It matches the Rfam family "Bacterial small subunit ribosomal RNA", at positions 100 to 334 of the family's 1533-position model. The record is from RNAcentral.
CGGGACGGGUGAGUAAUGUCUGGGAAACUGCCUGAUGGAGGGGGAUAACUACUGGAAACGGUAGCUAAUACCGCAUAACGUCGCAAGACCAAAGAGGGGGACCUUCGGGCCUCUUGCCAUCGGAUGUGCCCAGAUGGGAUUAGCUAGUAGGUGGGGUAACGGCUCACCUAGGCGACGAUCCCUAGCUGGUCUGAGAGGAUGACCAGCCACACUGGAACUGAGACACGGUCCAG